Molecule: unclassified non-coding RNA, 224 nt
Filed under: Hevea brasiliensis (rubber tree)
Lineage: Eukaryota; Viridiplantae; Streptophyta; Magnoliopsida; Malpighiales; Euphorbiaceae
Source: RNAcentral
AGAACAGAUACCAAAAGAACUUAGAGGCUGUCCAUUCAAAUCCAAUCAUUGUAUAUAUUAUAACACCAUAAACUGCAGCUUGAACAAAAAUAUAUGGAAUCUCAAUUGCAACUUGUGCAAAGGCAUAUGGAAAAGCUGAGUACAUUCCCGAAGCUCUUUCUCUGUAGAAAACUGUUCUUUCGAUAGCUACAACAGGCAUCACAGUUGAUCCAUUCUGCGUCCCG